RNAcentral lists this non-coding RNA (148 nucleotides) under Homo sapiens (human). The record is from Rfam by way of RNAcentral. Lineage: Eukaryota; Metazoa; Chordata; Mammalia; Primates; Hominidae.
GCUAGGCGUGACAGUGUGCACCUGUAAUCCCAGCUGCUCAGGAGGCUGAGGCAGGAGGAUUGCUCGAGUCCAGGAGUUUGGGGCUGCAGUGAGCUAUUAUUGUGCCACUGCACUCCCACCUGGGCAACAGAGCAAGACUUCAUCUCUA